RNAcentral lists this ribosomal RNA (659 nucleotides) under uncultured Pseudomonadales bacterium. RNAcentral describes it as "bacterial SSU rRNA". It matches the Rfam family "Bacterial small subunit ribosomal RNA", at positions 74 to 729 of the family's 1533-position model. Lineage: Bacteria; Pseudomonadati; Pseudomonadota; Gammaproteobacteria; Pseudomonadales. The record is from RNAcentral.
AAGAGCUUGCUCUUCGAUUCAGCGGCGGACGGGUGAGUAAUGCCUAGGAAUCUGCCUGGUAGUGGGGGACAACGUUUCGAAAGGAACGCUAAUACCGCAUACGUCCUACGGGAGAAAGCAGGGGACCUUCGGGCCUUGCGCUAUCAGAUGAGCCUAGGUCGGAUUAGCUAGUUGGUGAGGUAAUGGCUCACCAAGGCGACGAUCCGUAACUGGUCUGAGAGGAUGACCAGUCACACUGGAACUGAGACACGGUCCAGACUCCUACGGGAGGCAGCAGUGGGGAAUAUUGGACAAUGGGCGAAAGCCUGAUCCAGCCAUGCCGCGUGUGUGAAGAAGGUCUUCGGAUUGUAAAGCACUUUAAGUUGGGAGGAAGGGCAUUAACCUAAUACGUUAGUGUUUUGACGUUACCGACAGAAUAAGCACCGGCUAACUCUGUGCCAGCAGCCGCGGUAAUACAGAGGGUGCAGGCGUUAAUCGGAAUUACUGGGCGUAAAGCGCGCGUAGGUGGUUUGUUAAGUUGGAUGUGAAAGCCCCGGGCUCAACCUGGGAACUGCAUCCAAAACUGGCAAGCUAGAGUACGGUAGAGGGUGGUGGAAUUUCCUGUGUAGCGGUGAAAUGCGUAGAUAUAGGAAGGAACACCAGUGGCGAAGGCGACCACC